This 1460-nucleotide ribosomal RNA is filed under the name Amphiacantha sp. ex Lecudina cf. longissima. RNAcentral describes it as "partial 18S small subunit ribosomal RNA". It matches the Rfam family "Microsporidia small subunit ribosomal RNA". The record is from RNAcentral. Lineage: Eukaryota; Fungi; Microsporidia; Amphiacanthidae.
GAGAUACGCUAGUUUUAAGGACUAAGCCAUGCAAGCGCGUUCAGGAAGCGAAACGGCGGACGGCUCAGUAGGACGACCCUGAUACAGCCGUUGUUUUAGAUAACUGUGGGAAUGCCAGGGCUAAGCACACGAGUCUUUGGUGUGUGGGUUGAGUCUGCGAGUCGUUCUUUUGAGGGCUUGUCGGCGGCCUGCAGACUAUGGGUCAAUUAAGGUGGCGAGCGUGAGGCGGGACCGGUCUGCGGAGUGGGGGUUGGGCCAUCAGCUGUAUCCAAGGGUCAGUUCCUUGGAUGGCGACGACGGCCACGGGGGAUGAACGUUUAGUUCCGGAGAGGGAGCCUGAGAGACGGCUACCAGGUCCAUGGACAGCAGCAGGCGCGCAACUUGCCCACUUGGAGAAGAGGCAGCGACGAGGGGUUCCACGUUGUGGAGAGAACGCAGAGGUUGAGCUGCGUGAGAGCAACACGAGGGCAAGUCUGGUGCCAGCCGCCGCGGUAAUUCCAGCUCGGGGAGAGUAUGCCAAGGAUGUUGCGGUUAAGAGGCCCGCGGUUUUGUCGGGACAGGGAAAGGGGCGACUCACAAGGCGCGCAGACAGUUCCGUUGCGUGAGUGGUGUUUGUUUCAUUCAUCGCUCGCGAUUUGUUGAUAGGACGGAGUUGGGUGUGUGGCACCGGCGCGGGAGGGGUGAAAACCGGAGAGCGCGGUGGGGCUAGGCGAGGCGAAGGCGGCACACCGGCGUCGGUCUGGUGACCAUGGGGGAAGGCCGGGGGAGCGAAGAUGAUCAGAUACCGUUGUAGUCCCGGCGGCAAACAGCCAUUGGCCUGCGGAGGUGUGUGAGUCUGUCUGUGUUCAGCAGCAGUUGAGCACGUUCGCGGGCCAGUUUAAAGAGAAUGGUUCUGGGGGGAGUACUGUCGCAAGGCUGGAACUUGAAGGAAUUGACGGAUGGGCACACCAGGGGUGGAGCCUGCGGCUUAAUUUGACUCAACACGGGGAAGCUUACCGGGCGCGAGCUCAGGGAGGAUCUUUUUGAGAUUCUGAGCGUGGCGGUGCAUGGCCGUUCUUGCAUGUGAAGUGAUUUGCGCGGUUGACUCCGUAAACAUGCGAGGCCCUUUGGUCGUGCUUGUUUUAUUCAAGUGCGUCUCUCUGUAGACGUCGGCGACGCUCUGUGAGAACGGAGGGAAGAGAGGGCAACAACAGGUCCGUGAUGCCCCUAGAUGGCGCGGGCCGCACGCGGGCUACAGUGGUGGUUUUAGAAGGGGAGUUUCAAUGAGGAGCCCUCUGGCGGGAUUGUUGAUUUUGAGGUUGACAUGAACACGGAAUCCCUAGUAGGCGCGUCUGAGGAUGUCGCGCCGACUGCGUCCCUGCCCGUUGUACACACCGCCCGUCGAUACUACCGGUUUGUUUUAGCGCGAGCUUCUGCGAGUGUUCAGAUGACGAGGAAGUAAAAGUCGUAACAAGGUUUCC